UAACUGGAGAGUUUGAUCCUGGCUCAGAAUGAACGCUGGCGGCGUGCCUAACACAUGCAAGUCGCACGAGAAAGUCUGCUUUCGGGCGGGCGAGUAAAGUGGCGCACGGGUGAGUAACGCGUAGGUAAUCUACCC
Molecule: ribosomal RNA, 135 nt
Filed under: Deltaproteobacteria bacterium
Lineage: Bacteria; Pseudomonadati; Myxococcota; Myxococcia
Description: partial 16S ribosomal RNA
Rfam family: Bacterial small subunit ribosomal RNA
Source: RNAcentral